GACAGAGGCCACGAACGUUGUUCGGAAUUACUGGGCCUAAAGCGCACGUAGGCGGCUAGGUCCGUCCGAUGUGAAAGCCCCCGGCUCAACCGGGGAAUUGCAUCGGAUACAGCCUGGCUCGAGGACGGUUGGGGUGAGUGGAACUCCUGGUGAAGCGGUGAAAUGCGUAGAUAUCAGGAGGAACACCGGUGGCGAAAGCGGCUCACUUGACCGUUACUGACGCUGAGGUGCGAAAGCUAGGGGAGCAAACGGG
Molecule: ribosomal RNA, 253 nt
Filed under: uncultured bacterium
Lineage: Bacteria
Description: partial 16S ribosomal RNA
Rfam family: Bacterial small subunit ribosomal RNA
Source: RNAcentral